AGUGACGAUAGCCUAGGAGAUACACCUGUUCCCAUGCCGAACACAGAAGUUAAGCCCUAGCACGCCUGAUGUAGUUGGGGGUUGCCCCCUGUUAGAUAUGGUAGUCGCUUAGC
This 113-nucleotide ribosomal RNA is filed under the name Streptococcus equinus ATCC 9812. Lineage: Bacteria; Bacillati; Bacillota; Bacilli; Lactobacillales; Streptococcaceae. The record is from RNAcentral.